UCCAUCACAGUGUUAUCAAAAUUCAACAUUCACAUAAUCAAAAUCUCCAAUAUUAAAUAGAAAAAAUACAUGAUCAAGAAAGUGGUUGCUGCAAAUUUGAGGGCACAAGGAAAUGUGGGUUUUAAGCAAGAAAUGAACUUAUAAAAUAUUCCAAAAUGAGGACAAAUUAAAAGAAAAUUUUGAAUUCCUUACCAUAGAGAGAGAAUCAUAAAAUGUCACCCCUUGCAUUUGGAGUAGGCGAGGGAGGAGGAGUGAGUCAAGUUACCGGAGAUGGCGAAAUUGGUGCCGAUGGUGAGAGAAUCACAGUCGCAGACGACAGAAAGGGGAUGAAACGUCUAGGUUGGAUUUGGGAAAUUGGGCUGGUAUAAUGGGUUAUAAUUUUUUCUUCUGGGUUUUCA
RNAcentral lists this long non-coding RNA (398 nucleotides) under Olea europaea subsp. europaea. Lineage: Eukaryota; Viridiplantae; Streptophyta; Magnoliopsida; Lamiales; Oleaceae. The record is from RNAcentral.